CAAUAAAAAGCAGGAGCGGAAUAGGGAACCGGCGAGGGAGAGGGAGAGAGAGAAGGGGACCAAAGACCUAGAGCGGUACCUUGGGGGGAGGAGCUGCCUAGAGCGGCCGCCUGCUGGCUGGCGGGACCGCGUCCACCACAGAGCGGGACGGUCAGACGGUACGCGGCCCGCGGCCGUGGACAAGGAAGGUGGCCGCCUGACACUUGCGCGGCACGGUUGUACGUACCGCCUCGUGCAUGGGAUGACCACUUCUCCCUCUGCGACGAGCGGCUCGCCGCACGGAGCCGUGUGGUCUGUGCUCAGAGCGGGCAACGGCCGGGACUGGCCGCCGAAUGUGGAGGUCGAGAGGGCAUGGAUGCCAGUUGGCUUCGGCUCUGGUUCCGCGCAACUAGAGUUAGAAGGACAAGCAAAAGUUAGGCUUCCACGUCCAAAGAAGUACCUAACGGUCAAGCGGCGCAAACUAAAACGCACAGUCUGCUCUCUUUCUUAUCUUUUAUCCUUUUAUUUUGAGCCAAGAUGAUGACUUGGCUAGUUUCAAGUACACCUGCAUUUUCCAGUCAUCCUCUAAACUAAGUCAUCUUCACAGCAGUCUACCAAGAAGGCUGUUCAGGUCUGACCUCAUCAGUCAUAGUCCUGAUGAUCAUAAAACCAUUACCUCGAUAGAUAGAAGAAAGAAACGUCAGAACACAACAAAAGGGAGAGAGCCCUAGGUUUUUCCGUAGGUACUUCUACGAACGAACAUGUGAUCGAUCCUCAUCAGUACGUAACAUCCGCACGUUACGAGACAGACAGAGUUGGACGGUUUCCAAGAGAAGACUACCUACUUGAGUAGUUGUGCUGUCGUGAAAUAUUAGCCACCUAAACACACACCAAACUGGUCAGAGCAAGGGAGGGCGGGCAUAUAGUAACCAUGUUAGAUGUUAGAGCAAGUAAGUGAGAAUAACAAAAGACUUGAAUUUGUAAAAACGCAAAGUAAAGUUGAACGAAAACAAAAAGUGAACAGUACUACGAAAAUCCGUUGAUCUCUCGGUGCAAACGGUGAAGUCUUGGUUACUAAACGAACGUUUUGGGAGAAUAUAAAAACCUCGUCUCCUUCAUUAAUAAAUAAGUCCAAAUCGAAUACUUAAUCGAUCAACGUGCGUAUACGUACGAGCGAAAGACCGAACCCCAUCCAACCGACAAAAUCCCUUACCAUCGUACAAGCAAGCACUGACAUCAAUGCACUAACCGUUCCCGUUUCCUCAUCAAAUGAAUUUUCUUUCAGUUUCCCUCUUUGCUUUAAAAGUUCAUCUGCGCCGUUUCAUGUACUAUAAUCUGUCCAGUCGGGUGAUUUUUAAAGAUCUGAAUAGAUUAGGACGAGGUCCUAGAGUUUUUUCCUUCUAGAGUUAGAAAAUCUUGGAGCAUAUAUAAAACACCACUCGUCGUCUGGGUUGACCCGUUCGACUCGGAUCUGGGUUACGUCCUAUAGUUUGUGUUGAUAUUCGUUCUGGGUCUAUGUCAUAUCCUUCGAAUUCGAAGUAGUCCUUUAUCUGGUGUUGUGAUUUCUAUUGUUUGUUGUUUCUUAAUUUUCCGUAUAAACCCAUUGUAGAAACUUCUUGGUUUUAACAUAUUACGUAUCCAUUGUUUUUAGUGCCUCGAUAGUUACAACGUACCAAGUCUUGCAAAGUACAGACUCACAUCGGUAUACGUUUCCUUUUGUUUUGCCGCCAUGCCGUAACAUAACACAAAUAAUGUUGUUUAGUCACGGACAAUCAGCUGUUCGUGUUACUAAAACCAUUAUUAACUGAAACCUCGUGAACCAACUACGGCUGGUAUAAUAAGGAACGAAGUCUCAGACGUUUACCUUUUGUCUAAGAUACUCUUCAAAAUGUUCGAAAGGGGUCAAUGGUCAUUAUGAACUUUUUGACUUUCGACGACGAUCAGAUUAAAGUACGUUUUGUCAAAAGUUGUGAUUAGAAAAUACGGAAAACAAAUUAUAUUUAAUCCGAUAGGAUUGUUAUGGGACUCGUAGACGUACAACACGUUUUGUUUCUAUAUUUUCAGUACAAUACUUAAUCUUAAUGAUAUUUAGUCAAUCACUUCAGUAGGAGUCUAUAGGUCAAAUUACAUUAUAGUUGAGACUAACUUUUUAUAACAGGUCAUAUUAGAGAGAUCUAUCAACGUAGAUAAUAGUAAUAUGAACGACCGAUACAGGUUUUGUCAUGAGUAUAAAUCUUUGACGAAGUUAUACAUGAACUUUUAUGCAACAUAUACUAGGACUAUGAACCCUCUCUUCAGGACUCGAGGCAGCGGCACAUGCAUCCCAGUUCAAAGAGAGAGAGGCAGACAUGACUGGGGUGACAGUCACCCACCCUCUUUGAGGUAGACACGCCCCGGGUUAACAGUCGCUCGCGCUAUCUAAUUUUACGACUCACGGCACCCUCAAACUUGGCGCUGACCUGCUCAAGCGACCACACUGCGUAGUGCGUACGUGCACGAUUGGUAGACUUGGCUACGAUGAAGAACCUUCUAUAACUCCCAAGAUGAAUAGUUUCUUAACGGAGCACCCGGAAGCACGUAAAGACACAUAAUGAAGUCCCAACUUUCGAAUUUGUGUGUCAUGACUUAUUAAGUAACUGGUCUUCCACGUUAUAUAUGUAAUAUGUGGUUAACCACUCUUUGGUAUACAUCUAGAAAAGAUCUUAUACAUCUUAAAUAUCUUUAUUCCUUAUAUUUAAGAUUUUGCUCAUGUAGUAAUACAUCACGAUGUCAUUUCUCGUUUACGAAUUACUACACGAGGUGGGCUAGGUAUAAUUAAGAGAGUUUGAUUAUAACAAGCCUCCUUCAUGAACUUAAGUGGUAAUCUCCUCUCUUUACGUGUACCAAGUAUAAACUUUAUAUAAGUUAGUUGAUUUUCCUUCAGCUCAAUAUGAACUGCGUUAUUAGUUUGUUCUCCAAUUAAAUAAUGAGACUUGUAAAUCUUAUCGUUUGAUCGUGCUCUUUUAGAUGGUUUUUAAUCAGGUCGGUGUGUUACUUUUAUUUAUACUUGCACUUCUUUAUCAGCUUUCACACGGAAGUGACUUUGUUACUUUAUAUAGAAUGGAUCUUGUGUAAAUCUUUUUCAAAAAAAGUAUACACUGGUAAUAAGACUCAAAGACUGUAGAUUCAUUUCUGAAAAGUACAUACUCUAUUUUACACCAAAGACUGUAGAUUCAUUUCUGAAAUGUACGUACUCUAUUUUACACUGUUCGAUUUCAUUAAUCAGGUUGUUUUACUUUCUUGUAUGUGAUUAUACGUUCUUUAAAGCAACAGACAAAUAGGGUUAGAUUUUCAUUACACGUAGACAAAUCAUGGUGGAUGUUUGUAAUCGAUCCAACCGAUUGUGUGAGCAGGACAUUGGACUCCAGCGUUCAAUCUUUGACACGGUUGGUAAAAAUUUAAGAAGAUGGGCGGUAAAGAAAGCCGUUGGGUACUGUCCAUCCAGGGUGAGUCUGCCUCUAUUCUCACUACUCGCACGAUAUGUUUUAUGCAUGCGCCACUACCCUGAGUCCUGACAAGAAGGUUCAUAGUCCUAGCAUGAUUUCGUGAAAGAUUCAUGCUCCUGAAAAAAUCUGGAUCCGUAGUUCAUAAGUCACUAGUUCUAUUGUACUCAAUCAGACCUAGGAUUUAGAAUGAAUUUAAUUUAGAUUGUACGUAGUAUUUAUUUAAGGGUUGACCUCUGAAAUCCCUCAUAGUAUGUGUUUUACCUCUGAUUAAGACAUGUAUACAUAUCCCGUCAAAUGAUAAUUAAAUCUGAGUUGCUUUGUAAGCAAUUAAAGGAUUAACUACUACCAUCGUAAACUAUCGUAAUUAGACUAAAUUCUAAAAGGUACGUUCACUUAGUAGAUGGUCCUAAAGUUAAUAUGGAACCAAAUGAGAAAGUAAGCGCCUAUAGGCUGGAACGUGGUCGGUGAGCUAUCCGGACAAGACCAGAAGAAACUAAAGAAAUUACAAAGUCAUAGGAAUCGGACGACCUAGAAAUGAUGUGCCUUUACUCGAAGUAGACGGUAAGACAGGUUAAUGGGUUAUCAAAUCACAGUAGAGACAACAAUGUGUACGUCGAUGUAGUUCUAUUUACACUGCUAAGACUUUAACUGUGAAUGUACACAAGUAGUUACACGAAACCUAUGAACGAUUAGGAAUACAGGAUGAUAUGUAAGAAACAUACCUGUAACCUACCAGUAAAGCCACAGAAGAUCUACGCGGAGGAGCAACAAAGACGUCUUUUCUUCUAAAACAUUAGAGUCAGUCCUUGGUCCCUUUUAAGUCUAUUAGAACGCCGCAGUGUCUAGAUGUUCCUUUCGAAAACCAAGAUUGACUUUAUCCCCUAAUCAAGUCUGUUUGUUUCGACGAGAGUCUUCUUAUUUCCGGUCGCGAACUUGACAAGACGUGUACGAUAAAGUGUUCUUAUACUGUUGCGAACGUCAUUUCUCAGGAAGCAAUGGAUGUACGAUGAUAAAGUGUUCGUAUACCGUCGCGACAACGACGUGUACGAUGAAGUGUUCGACCUACGAAGACACGUUAAUGACUCUGAUUCCAAGGCUCUGUUGACUUGGACCGCUGCUGAGAUUGGUAGGUGUGUGUUGCGGUCCUAAAGUUUAGAUGCGCCGUGAUUGGUUACUCGGGACCGCAGGACCGCUGUACCUCCGUAGACCAACGAGGUUUUUUCCUUUGACAUUUCUAAGGCUAUUCGAAGCCAAAGAAUGGCUACUCAAAAGCUCACUCACCGUAUUGCUGCCUUCCGUUAGGUUCGGAACGUAAAGAAUGUCAUGUGGCCACCGGACGCCUGAAACGUCUACGAUAGGGUUUUAAAACGUUUGGGCAGCCCCUAUAACCUGGUGAACCGGUCGCGUCUGGGCUAGAGGGGCCGCCGGUAUUUCCGACGGUAACGCCCCCGGUAGACGCGGCCAAGAAGAAACCUAACAGCCCUCUCUUCCCUGCCAUCCAAGCAUCCGCCGCACGUCCUGCUCACCUCCUCCUAUGAGCGCACGGGGAAUCCAAUUUUGAGUGGGAGACGCAACCAACAUACCCGGUCCGGAAUAGACAAAACCUGCACUACCAAGCUGAAAGUACCAAACAAACCCGCGCUCUCGACAGAAAGCGUAAUUCACUAUCCCGUCGUCGACUAAAAAGAACAGAGGACAUCGUUGACCCGUUCGGGUUAAAUGAAAUUAAUUAUAAAAAUUAUGUAAGUUUAAAAAAGUAGUAAAAAAUUAUGUAUCAGUUGUAAAAACAGAUAUGUGUAAAUUGUAAAGGGUUUACGAACUAAUUGUAAAAAGUUUAUAAACAAGUUGUAGAAAAGUUUACGCACUAAUUCUAAAAAUAUAUGUACUAAUUUUUCUAGCAUUAAAAAAUUAGCCUUAUAGAUGGAUCGUGUCGCGUCGCCUAGUAAAACUGUUUUGACGGCUUACUGAACCGACGGGAAACUAGGGCUAGCGAACUAGGUGUGCCUCAAGCUCCGGGAGGAGGUAGGGGCGAGCUAAGCACACCCUUUGGGUCAACGCGGGAAAGAAGCAGGAGAGAGAGCUGAAGGAGGGGUUAGGGUUUGGUCGUCGGUGACGGAUGCGGCCGCUGGAGCGGCGGAACGCAGCAGGAGGCAGCAACGGGGAUCGUAGAGGGGAGGGGGUGGGAUAGUGGGAUAUACUCCGGGGUUCAGCUCGUCGGUUCAGUCGACUGCCGAUCUAGGUGGUGCCAGCGGCACUAUACACAAUUUUUAUUAAGACAUUAAUCCCCUUUUAGAGGGGAACGGGUUUGGCAGCAACGCCAAACAGGGCGUUGGCUGCAGAGGGAAGCUAGAGGACCUUGGCUGCGGAGGAGCUCCCUAGCAGCACAGAGAAGCCCUGUAUAUUUUCCCCCGGAUAUUGGUAGCUAGUUAGCUAAGCUAGUAAGACUAAGUUUUGUGCAAUAGUACGUGCAUCUUGUUGAUCGCUCUCGCUUUCCGUUGUCUCUUUCCUCUUCUCUCCUUCAUGAGCGGCGGCCACUCUACUGUCCGGAACAGAGGAAGAAGGAAGCAGACUAGGCGCUCCUGCCAGCGGCGAUGGCGGAGGACCUCAACCACCGGUGGCGGCAAAGGCAGCGGCCUACGUUCGGUAGGCAGCUAAGCCGGCGCCGCGGCGACCUGCACCGCGAGGACCGGCGGUGGCGCAGCGACCUGCUCCACGAGGACCGGCGGUGGCGCGGCGACCUGCGCGAGGGGACGAGGGGAGCGGGGACCUGCGUUGGUGCUACCACGAGGGACGCGGGCACCGGUCCGCGGGUACCCCAAGCUGGGGACCGAUCACCGGCCGGGUUCGCGGAGGUACCACGUGUCCCGACGUCGGCGCGGAUGUGGCGGAGGACCUAGAGGCGGAGGUGGUGGAGGAGGCGGCCGGCGCACCGAGCGCGGCAGCUGCGGUUGCGGGCGUCGGCUCCGGCGGCCGGGCGGGCCUAUGACGGGACACGGCUACGCGCGGCAGCACUUGCUCCUCCUCCGCGCCUCUGGCCACGGAGGCCUCACCAGGCGGAACCUCGGCCGUACCUCCCGUGACUGCGGUGGCGGUGCGGAGUCGUCCUCUGCCGACGCCCGAGCUCGUCGGCUCGGCGUGCCGCGAAGCCCGCAGAGAAGACCGCGCGGCAGCGGCGGUAGCUGGCAGCGGGGUCGGCGGCGGGGCCAAGCACCCGAGGCCGCUCGGAGCCUGAGUGGUCGCGGCGUGGUCCUUGACGAGCGGGCCUAGUGUAGCAACAGCUGAGAAGGAGCCUGCUCCUCCCCAACAGCCACGAUGCGGCCACUGGUGGCCUUAGCGUUCCCGGACGCCGCUGGUGAGGAGGGCGGCCGCGGCGGCGCACUAUCACCCCUAGCUCGUCUCCACCACCACGCCCCGAGCCUAUGAGACUGGGAAUAGGCUAGGCGGACGAGGGGGGGACAGAACACGCCACGCCGCCGCUCACCCGGCCGGUUUCCGGCCCGUCCGGGUCCGGGUCCGCGGGCUCCGCCGACAAAGGAGAGGACACGCCACGACACCGCC
RNAcentral lists this ribosomal RNA (7022 nucleotides) under Triticum aestivum (bread wheat). Its description in RNAcentral is "partial small subunit ribosomal RNA". Lineage: Eukaryota; Viridiplantae; Streptophyta; Magnoliopsida; Poales; Poaceae. The record is from RNAcentral.